GCCUUUGUAGUAUAACUAUUAUACUGGUCUUGUAAACCAGAGAUGGGGACUCACAUCCCCCAAAGACA
Molecule: transfer RNA, 68 nt
Filed under: Sorex unguiculatus (long-clawed shrew)
Lineage: Eukaryota; Metazoa; Chordata; Mammalia; Eulipotyphla; Soricidae
Also listed under: 2 other names
Description: tRNA-Thr
Rfam family: tRNA
About the family: Transfer RNA (tRNA) molecules are approximately 80 nucleotides in length. Their secondary structure includes four short double-helical elements and three loops (D, anti-codon, and T loops).
Source: RNAcentral